AUUGAACGCUGGCGGCAUGCCUUACACAUGCAAGUCGAACGGUAACAGGUCUUCGGAUGCUGACGAGUGGCGAACGGGUGAGUAAUACAUCGGAACGUGCCUAGUAGUGGGGGAUAACUACUCGAAAGAGUGGCUAAUACCGCAUGAGAUCUACGGAUGAAAGCAGGGGAUCGCAAGACCUUGUGCUACUAGAGCGGCCGAUGGCAGAUUAGGUAGUUGGUGGGAUAAAAGCUUACCAAGCCGACGAUCUGUAGCUGGUCUGAGAGGACGAUCAGCCACACAGGGACUGAGCAACGGCCCAGACUCCUACGGGAGGCAGCAGUGGGGAAUUUUGGACAAUGGGCGCAAGCCUGAUCCAGCAAUGCCGCGUGCAGGAUGAAGGCCUUCGGGUUGUAAACUGCUUUUGUACGGAACGAAAAGCCCCGGGUUAAUACCCUGGGGUCAUGACGGUACCGUAAGAAUAAGCACCGGCUAACUACGUGCCAGCCGCCGCCGAA
RNAcentral lists this ribosomal RNA (497 nucleotides) under uncultured bacterium. RNAcentral's name for it is "partial 16S ribosomal RNA". It matches the Rfam family "Bacterial small subunit ribosomal RNA", at positions 30 to 522 of the family's 1533-position model. The record is from RNAcentral.